UUGCUCUUCAACGAGGAAUGCCUAGUAAGCGUACGUCAUCAGCGUGCGUUGAUUACGUCCCUGCCCUUUGUACACACCGCCCGUCGCUACUACCGAUUGAAUGGCUGAGUGAGGCCUUCGGACUGGCCCAGGGAGGUCGGCAACGACCACYCAGGGCCGGAAAGUUGGUCAAACUCSGUCAUUUAGAGGAAGUAAAAGUCGUAACAAGGUUUCCGUAGGUGAACCUGCGGAAGGAUCAUUACCUAGAGUUUGURGACUUCGGUCUGCUACCUCUUACCCAUGUCUUUUGAGUACCUUCGUUUCCUCGGCGGGUCCGCCCGCCGRUUGGACAACAUUCAAACCCUUUGCAGUUGCAAUCAGCGUCUGAAAAAACWUAAUAGUUACAACUUUCAACAACGGAUCUCUUGGUUCUGGCAUCGAUGAAGAACGCAGCGAAAUGCGAUAAGUAGUGUGAAUUGCAGAAUUCAGUGAAUCAUCGAAUCUUUGAACGCACAUUGCGCCCCUUGGUAUUCCAUGGGGCAUGCCUGUUCGAGCGUCAUYUGUACCUUCAAGCUCUGCUUGGUGUUGGGUGUUUUGUCUCGCCUCCGCGCGCAGACUCGCCUUAAAACAAUUGGCAGCCGGCGUAUUGAUUUCGGAGCGCAGUACAUCUCGCGCUUUGCACUCAUAACGACGACGUCCAAAAGUACAUUUUUACACUCUUGACCUCGGAUCAGGUAGGGAUACCCGCUGAACUUAAGCAUAUCAAUAAGCGGAGGA
RNAcentral lists this ribosomal RNA (756 nucleotides) under uncultured fungus. Its description in RNAcentral is "eukaryotic LSU rRNA". Lineage: Eukaryota; Fungi. The record is from RNAcentral.